Molecule: long non-coding RNA, 473 nt
Filed under: Pan troglodytes (chimpanzee)
Lineage: Eukaryota; Metazoa; Chordata; Mammalia; Primates; Hominidae
Description: long non-coding RNA NONPTRT001464
Source: RNAcentral
UGCUGAAUGUCACACCAGAUGGCCAGCAUGUCUGUGAAGGGCAGAAACUGGGUCAGCCAAACAGCUAGCAGAGGCCAACUAGACAGAGGCUCCCUUUUCUUACAGUUGGAAUGAGGGAUGGAGAGAUUUGAUGGUGUCCUGUACAAGUUGGAUGUUAAUCUGAUGUGGUGCUGCUGGAGAAGCUUGCCUGAGUCAGGCACAUUCUCAGCAUGUGGUAUGUGCUGCCCCUUCAAAGCUGCAGGAUUCUCAGAAGUUAUGCUGGCUUCUAUCCACAGCUGCGCUCCAGGUGGGGAAUACCUAUGGAGGCACCAGGGUGCAACUACUCAAAGACUCCAGUGUGCAGAAGGGCCCCUGCUCCAUGUUGUUCCCAUAUCCAAGCCCAAGCUCAUCUAGGACUUCAGCAAACCCAAGCUUCCCUGAAUUCCCUGCUGAGACCAAACUGAGCCCUGUGACCCACACUACUACACUGGUUA